AUCCAGCUGACGAGUCCCGAAUACGACGAAACGCGCGUCCUGGAU
Schistosoma mansoni is the source of this 45-nucleotide non-coding RNA. The record is from Rfam. Lineage: Eukaryota; Metazoa; Platyhelminthes; Trematoda; Strigeidida; Schistosomatidae.